Long non-coding RNA from Rhinolophus ferrumequinum (greater horseshoe bat), 1124 nucleotides. RefSeq lists it as uncharacterized. The transcript is spliced from 5 exons. The record is from RefSeq and is a predicted model, not a curated record. Lineage: Eukaryota; Metazoa; Chordata; Mammalia; Chiroptera; Rhinolophidae.
AGGAGACCAACAAAGUGCUUUUAAGUAGCUCCUUCCCUUUCUUCAAGCACAGCCUGAGCCACAAAUCCCUAACGGACCGUUCAGGAUCAAGCUGGGUAACCGGAGAUGAGAUACGCAUAAUUGGUACAGUGACACACAUAUAAUUUAUAAAUGAUAUAGGGAGCUGCGGUGCAUAACCGGUCAUUGAGAGAGCAUGGCUAAAGGAGAACAGACGCAGGAGUCAUGUGAUCCGGGCUGUGCAGGACUCAGGACAACUUGCCUGAAUAAGCAGCAUUCGUCCUGAGUCUCACCUGUGAUCUCGCCCGACAGAAGAGCGGGGAACCAUGCCCGUCAGGAGGAAAAGAUGGCAGCGUUUUCUCACAGGUGUGAAAGAAUACGACACUUCUACACAAGGGGUGCCGAGAGAGUCCUGCACCCAGCCCAGGUUCUAGCUCAGCCUCUUACUGCCUGGACUAUUGCGACAGGCUCCAAACCGCCUUACUGCCCUCUGUCUACGUUCUCAGUGCAUCCUGGGCUCUGCUCCAGUCUUCAUGAGCCACUUUGAUGAGUGUCGGCCUCUCAACGACAUGGACUGCCGUUUCCCCAUCCUGCACUGAAAUCCCAGCAGAGGUGACAGUGUCAUUGUCGCUAGAAGCUGGAAGCCGUUAACUGCUGGUGCUUGGCCCUCUAGUGUGGCCCUCCCCUGCGGUAAUGAGGCGGAGAACUUGAGUGGAGGUGGCAGGCAGCCUGGAAGCCACUGACAAUGCACCACAGCUGGCCUGGAGUUUUGCCCGAGCCAGGAGCAGGCUCGGCUGGACCACGAAAGCCUUCGCAAUCUAAAGCAACUGAAAAUUUCAGGUUGUAUGUUACUGCAGCAUAACUUCGCCCACCUCACUGACACUUAUUAUUUUAAAUCCCCGAUGAUUAGGGGUUUCAUUAGAUGACUGAAACCUCAAACAGGGUUCUUGGAAGUUUAGCACCUGAAAAUAACUCUAAAACAAAACAGGGAGCAAUUCAGGGUAAGAGUGAAGGCAUUUGAUCAGAGUUUGAACACCGGUUCCUAUAAGUUGCAAGUUCUAGGUCCUGCGCUGGCAGUUUUUAAAUCCUUUGGUCUCAAGACCCCUUUGUACUCUUAAAAAUUAUUG